UAAUGUUAUCUCAAAUAAGACGUCGUGAUAUAGGAGAGACUGAAGUAGAGAGCAGCCAAAAAAAAAAAAAGAAAAAAAAAGUUUAAAGUUAGUUUUUUAUUACUGAGUAUUUAAUAGACGGUGCGAUGACUAUCACAACACAUAUUGGAUCAGUCCAGACUCGAUGCGCUCUUCUUCAGUCUGCAGCCAGCCAUCGGACUUUCAUCCAGCCACUCCGGCUCUAGCCAAGGAUAGGACCGUCACCGGGGGGACCGUUUACAAGAAAAUGGAUUACAAACUUCCUGGUUUAACUGAUUCCGGUCUGACAUGAACAUCUGAAGAGAAGCUGUUUAUAAAAUCUAGUGGAUCACAAUGCAAAGGAGUCCAGCAGGUUGUCAGAUCAGACAUAAUGGAAAAUAUGACUAUGAAUAGCCGAUUCCCUGACCUCGGCUUAUCCAGCGACGUCUGCAGCAUUAUCAGCUGAAAUAUUCACUUUUACAUGCUAACAAGAAGAGACGUUAGAGGCACAGGAGCAGCAGCACACAGGACGACUGGCUUAGGGCAAGACAUCCAAGAUCACAGCGGCUGUUGUCACCUACAAGCCACUUGCAAUCAUCCUGUAGAAGAGUAAAUCUUUUUGUUUUUGUGAUAGAAAUGCAGGGUAUGUGAGUUAAUAAAGACACUGUGUGUGUGUGUGUCCGAUUUCAUUCUUAAAUGAUAAUGUAUAUGUAAGUAUGUCUGUACAAUGAAUACAAACAGAA
Long non-coding RNA from Thunnus maccoyii (southern bluefin tuna), 740 nucleotides. RefSeq lists it as uncharacterized. The transcript has 3 exons. The record is from RefSeq and is a predicted model, not a curated record. NCBI's taxonomy places the organism in Eukaryota, Metazoa, Chordata, Actinopteri, Scombriformes, Scombridae.